RNAcentral lists this ribosomal RNA (407 nucleotides) under uncultured bacterium. Its description in RNAcentral is "bacterial SSU rRNA". It matches the Rfam family "Bacterial small subunit ribosomal RNA", at positions 355 to 776 of the family's 1533-position model. The record is from RNAcentral.
UCGAGAAUCUUCCACAAUGGACGAAAGUCUGAUGGAGCGACGCCGCGUGACUGAUGAAGUGCUUCGGCAUGUAAAGGUCUUUUAUGUGGGAAAAAGUUAUUGAUGGUACCACAAGAAUAAAGGGUUGCUAAACUCGUGCCAGCAGCAGCGGUAAUACGAGUGCCCUAAGCGUUAUCCGGAAUCAUUGGGCGUAAAGGGUGUGUAGGUGGUUGUGUUAGUCUUCUGUUAAAUUCUUCGGCUUAACCGGGGGCAUGCAGAGGAAACGGCACAACUAGAGGAUGCGAGAGGUACAUGGAACUCAUGGAGUAGGGGUGAAAUCCGUUGAUAUCAUGGGGAACACCGAAAGCGAAGGCAAUGUACUGGCGCACUCCUGACACUGAAACACGAAAGCGUAGGUAGCGAAUGGG